UUGAAGAGUUUGAUCAUGGCUCAGAUUGAACGCUGGCGGCAGGCCUAACACAUGCAAGUCGAACGGUAACAGGAAGCAGCUUGCUGCUUUGCUGACGAGUGGCGGACGGGUGAGUAAUGUCUGGGAAACUGCCUGAUGGAGGGGGAUAACUACUGGAAACGGUGGCUAAUACCGCAUAACGUCGCAAGACCAAAGAGGGGGACCUUCGGGCCUCUUGCCAUCAGAUGUGCCCAGAUGGGAUUAGCUUGUUGGUGAGGUAACGGCUCACCAAGGCGACGAUCCCUAGCUGGUCUGAGAGGAUGACCAGCCACACUGGAACUGAGACACGGUCCAGACUCCUACGGGAGGCAGCAGUGGGGAAUAUUGCACAAUGGGCGCAAGCCUGAUGCAGCCAUGCCGCGUGUAUGAAGAAGGCCUUCGGGUUGUAAAGUACUUUCAGCGGGGAGGAAGGUGUUGUGGUUAAUAACCGCAGCAAUUGACGUUACCCGCAGAAGAAGCACCGGCUAACUCCGUGCCAGCAGCCGCGGUAAUACGGAGGGUGCAAGCGUUAAUCGGAAUUACUGGGCGUAAAGCGCACGCAGGCGGUCUGUCAAGUCGGAUGUGAAAUCCCCGGGCUCAACCUGGGAACUGCAUUCGAAACUGGCAGGCUUGAGUCUUGUAGAGGGGGGUAGAAUUCCAGGUGUAGCGGUGAAAUGCGUAGAGAUCUGGAGGAAUACCGGUGGCGAAGGCGGCCCCCUGGACAAAGACUGACGCUCAGGUGCGAAAGCGUGGGGAGCAAACAGGAUUAGAUACCCUGGUAGUCCACGCCGUAAACGAUGUCUACUUGGAGGUUGUGCCCUUGAGGCGUGGCUUCCGGAGCUAACGCGUUAAGUAGACCGCCUGGGGAGUACGGCCGCAAGGUUAAAACUCAAAUGAAUUGACGGGGGCCCGCACAAGCGGUGGAGCAUGUGGUUUAAUUCGAUGCAACGCGAAGAACCUUACCUGGUCUUGACAUCCACAGAACUUUCCAGAGAUGGAUUGGUGCCUUCGGGAACUGUGAGACAGGUGCUGCAUGGCUGUCGUCAGCUCGUGUUGUGAAAUGUUGGGUUAAGUCCCGCAACGAGCGCAACCCUUAUCCUUUGUUGCCAGCGGUCCGGCCGGGAACUCAAAGGAGACUGCCAGUGAUAAACUGGAGGAAGGUGGGGAUGACGUCAAGUCAUCAUGGCCCUUACGACCAGGGCUACACACGUGCUACAAUGGCGCAUACAAAGAGAAGCGACCUCGCGAGAGUAAGCGGACCUCAUAAAGUGCGUCGUAGUCCGGAUUGGAGUCUGCAACUCGACUCCAUGAAGUCGGAAUCGCUAGUAAUCGUGGAUCAGAAUGCCACGGUGAAUACGUUCCCGGGCCUUGUACACACCGCCCGUCACACCAUGGGAGUGGGUUGCAAAAGAAGUAGGUAGCUUAACCUUCGGGGGGGCGCUUACCACUUUGUGAUUCAUGACUGGGGUGAAGUCGUAACAAGGUAACCGUAGGGGAACCUGCGGUUGGAUCACCUCCUU
Molecule: ribosomal RNA, 1538 nt
Filed under: Salmonella enterica subsp. enterica serovar Typhi
Lineage: Bacteria; Pseudomonadati; Pseudomonadota; Gammaproteobacteria; Enterobacterales; Enterobacteriaceae
Description: bacterial SSU rRNA
Rfam family: Bacterial small subunit ribosomal RNA
Source: RNAcentral